AGCAAUACAUGCAAGUCGAGCGAACAGAUGAGAAGCUUGCUUCUCUGAUGUUAGCGGCGGACGGGUGAGUAACACGUGGGUAACCUACCUAUAAGACUGGGAUAACUCCGGGAAACCGGGGCUAAUACCGGAUAAUAUUUUGAACCGCAUGGUUCAAUAGUGAAAGACGGUUUCGGCUGUCACUUAUAGAUGGACCCGCGCCGUAUUAGCUAGUUGGUAAGGUAACGGCUUACCAAGGCGACGAUACGUAGCCGACCUGAGAGGGUGAUCGGCCACACUGGAACUGAGACACGGUCCAGACUCCUACGGGAGGCAGCAGUAGGGAAUCUUCCGCAAUGGGCGAAAGCCUGACGGAGCAACGCCGCGUGAGUGAUGAAGGUCUUCGGAUCGUAAAACUCUGUUGUUAGGGAAGAACAAAUUUGUUAGUAACUGAACAAGUCUUGACGGUACCUAACCAGAAAGCCACGGCUAACUACGUGCCAGCAGCCGCGGUAAUACGUAGGUGGCAAGCGUUAUCCGGAAUUAUUGGGCGUAAAGCGCGCGUAGGCGGUUUCUUAAGUCUGAUGUGAAAGCCCACGGCUCAACCGUGGAGGGUCAUUGGAAACUGGGAAACUUGAGUGCAGAAGAGGAGAGUGGAAUUCCAUGUGUAGCGGUGAAAUGCGCAGAGAUAUGGAGGAACACCAGUGGCGAAGGCGGCUCUCUGGUCUGUAACUGACGCUGAUGUGCGAAAGCGUGGGGAUCAAACAGGAUUAGAUACCCUGGUAGUCCACGCCGUAAACGAUGAGUGCUAAGUGUUAGGGGGUUUCCGCCCCUUAGUGCUGCAGCUAACGCAUUAAGCACUCCGCCUGGGGAGUACGACCGCAAGGUUGAAACUCAAAGGAAUUGACGGGGACCCGCACAAGCGGUGGAGCAUGUGGUUUAAUUCGAAGCAACGCGAAGAACCUUACCAAAUCUUGACAUCCUUUGACCGCUCUAGAGAUAGAGUCUUCCCCUUCGGGGGACAAAGUGACAGGUGGUGCAUGGUUGUCGUCAGCUCGUGUCGUGAGAUGUUGGGUUAAGUCCCGCAACGAGCGCAACCCUUAAGCUUAGUUGCCAUCAUUAAGUUGGGCACUCUAGGUUGACUGCCGGUGACAAACCGGAGGAAGGUGGGGAUGACGUCAAAUCAUCAUGCCCCUUAUGAUUUGGGCUACACACGUGCUACAAUGGAUAAUACAAAGGGCAGCGAAUCCGCGAGGCCAAGCAAAUCCCAUAAAAUUAUUCUCAGUUCGGAUUGUAGUCUGCAACUCGACUACAUGAAGCUGGAAUCGCUAGUAAUCGUAGAUCAGCAUGCUACGGUGAAUACGUUCCCGGGUCUUGUACACACCGCCCGUCACACCACGAGAGUUUGUAACACCCGAAGCCGGUGGAGUAACCUUUUAGGAGCUAGCCCUUAGAAGGGGCCAAG
Molecule: ribosomal RNA, 1444 nt
Filed under: Mammaliicoccus sciuri
Lineage: Bacteria; Bacillati; Bacillota; Bacilli; Caryophanales; Staphylococcaceae
Description: bacterial SSU rRNA
Rfam family: Bacterial small subunit ribosomal RNA
Source: RNAcentral